UGCGUUCCCAGUUUGAUCCUCAAUCGCCAUGAAUACACACUUUGAAGAUCAAGCUGGCGAGUCACAAUUCAAGCAGAAUGAAAACGAAGCGGAAUUACUACUAAAUUGAGAACUCAAGCUUUGAUACCAUGAUAAGAUGCAGAGUACACAACAAUGGAAGAAGAAGAUGAUGAAUUAGAGAGGAGAUGUAUGAAGAUACAUGGGAGAAGCAAAUAGGAACCUUCUCAUUAUCA
RNAcentral lists this long non-coding RNA (233 nucleotides) under Solanum tuberosum (potato). RNAcentral's name for it is "long non-coding RNA (STUB_LNC003225)". Lineage: Eukaryota; Viridiplantae; Streptophyta; Magnoliopsida; Solanales; Solanaceae. The record is from RNAcentral.